GGUUAAGCGACUAAGCGUACACGGUGGAUGCCCUGGCAGUCAGAGGCGAUGAAGGACGUGCUAAUCUGCGAUAAGCGUCGGUGAGGUGAUAUGAACCGUUAUAACCGGCGAUUUCCGAAUGGGGAAACCCAGUGUGUUUCGACACACUAUCAUUAACUGAAUCCAUAGGUUAAUGAGGCGAACCGGGGGAACUGAAACAUCUAAGUACCCCGAGGAAAAGAAAUCAACCGAGAUUCCCCCAGUAGCGGCGAGCGAACGGGGAGCAGCCCAGAGCCUGAAUCAGUGUGUGUGUUAGUGGAAGCGUCUGGAAAGGCGCGCGAUACAGGGUGACAGCCCCGUACACAAAAAUGCACAUGCUGUGAGCUCGAUGAGUAGGGCGGGACACGUGGUAUCCUGUCUGAAUAUGGGGGGACCAUCCUCCAAGGCUAAAUACUCCUGACUGACCGAUAGUGAACCAGUACCGUGAGGGAAAGGCGAAAAGAACCCCGGCGAGGGGAGUGAAAAAGAACCUGAAACCGUGUACGUACAAGCAGUGGGAGCACGCUUAGGCGUGUGACUGCGUACCUUUUGUAUAAUGGGUCAGCGACUUAUAUUCUGUAGCAAGGUUAACCGAAUAGGGGAGCCGAAGGGAAACCGAGUCUUAACUGGGCGUUAAGUUGCAGGGUAUAGACCCGAAACCCGGUGAUCUAGCCAUGGGCAGGUUGAAGGUUGGGUAACACUAACUGGAGGACCGAACCGACUAAUGUUGAAAAAUUAGCGGAUGACUUGUGGCUGGGGGUGAAAGGCCAAUCAAACCGGGAGAUAGCUGGUUCUCCCCGAAAGCUAUUUAGGUAGCGCCUCGUGAAUUCAUCUCCGGGGGUAGAGCACUGUUUCGGCAAGGGGGUCAUCCCGACUUACCAACCCGAUGCAAACUGCGAAUACCGGAGAAUGUUAUCACGGGAGACACACGGCGGGUGCUAACGUCCGUCGUGAAGAGGGAAACAACCCAGACCGCCAGCUAAGGUCCCAAAGUCAUGGUUAAGUGGGAAACGAUGUGGGAAGGCCCAGACAGCCGGGAUGUUGGCUUAGAAGCAGCCAUCAUUUAAAGAAAGCGUAAUAGCUCACUGGUCGAGUCGGCCUGCGCGGAAGAUGUAACGGGGCUAAACCAUGCACCGAAGCUGCGGCAGCGACACUAUGUGUUGUUGGGUAGGGGAGCGUUCUGUAAGCCUGUGAAGGUGUGCUGUGAGGCAUGCUGGAGGUAUCAGAAGUGCGAAUGCUGACAUAAGUAACGAUAAAGCGGGUGAAAAGCCCGCUCGCCGGAAGACCAAGGGUUCCUGUCCAACGUUAAUCGGGGCAGGGUGAGUCGACCCCUAAGGCGAGGCCGAAAGGCGUAGUCGAUGGGAAACAGGUUAAUAUUCCUGUACUUGGUGUUACUGCGAAGGGGGGACGGAGAAGGCUAUGUUGGCCGGGCGACGGUUGUCCCGGUUUAAGCGUGUAGGCUGGUUUUCCGGGCAAAUCCGGAAAAUCAAGGCUGAGGCGUGAUGACGAGGCACUACGGUGCUGAAGCAACAAAUGCCCUGCUUCCGGGAAAAGCCUCUAAGCAUCAGGUAACAUCAAAUCGUACCCCAAACCGACACAGGUGGUCAGGUAGAGAAUACCAAGGCGCUUGAGAGAACUCGGGUGAAGGAACUAGGCAAAAUGGUGCCGUAACUUCGGGAGAAGGCACGCUGAUAUGUAGGUGAGGUCCCUCGCGGAUGGAGCUGAAAUCAGUCGAAGAUACCAGCUGGCUGCAACUGUUUAUUAAAAACACAGCACUGUGCAAACACGAAAGUGGACGUAUACGGUGUGACGCCUGCCCGGUGCCGGAAGGUUAAUUGAUGGGGUCAGCGCAAGCGAAGCUCUUGAUCGAAGCCCCGGUAAACGGCGGCCGUAACUAUAACGGUCCUAAGGUAGCGAAAUUCCUUGUCGGGUAAGUUCCGACCUGCACGAAUGGCGUAAUGAUGGCCGGGCUGUCUCCACCCGAGACUCAGUGAAAUUGAACUCGCUGUGAAGAUGCAGUGUACCCGCGGCAAGACGGAAAGACCCCGUGAACCUUUACUAUAGCUUGACACUGAACAUUGAGCCUUGAUGUGUAGGAUAGGUGGGAGGCUUGGAAGUGUGGACGCCAGUCUGCAUGGAGCCGACCUUGAAAUACCACCCUUUAAUGUUUGAUGUUCUAACGUUGACCCGUAAUCCGGGUUGCGGACAGUGUCUGGUGGGUAGUUUGACUGGGGCGGUCUCCUCCUAAAGAGUAACGGAGGAGCACGAAGGUUGGCUAAUCCUGGUCGGACAUCAGGAGGUUAGUGCAAUGGCAUAAGCCAGCUUGACUGCGAGCGUGACGGCGCGAGCAGGUGCGAAAGCAGGUCAUAGUGAUCCGGUGGUUCUGAAUGGAAGGGCCAUCGCUCAACGGAUAAAAGGUACUCCGGGGAUAACAGGCUGAUACCGCCCAAGAGUUCAUAUCGACGGCGGUGUUUGGCACCUCGAUGUCGGCUCAUCACAUCCUGGGGCUGAAGUAGGUCCCAAGGGUAUGGCUGUUCGCCAUUUAAAGUGGUACGCGAGCUGGGUUUAGAACGUCGUGAGACAGUUCGGUCCCUAUCUGCCGUGGGCGCUGGAGAACUGAGGGGGGCUGCUCCUAGUACGAGAGGACCGGAGUGGACGCAUCACUGGUGUUCGGGUUGUCAUGCCAAUGGCACUGCCCGGUAGCUAAAUGCGGAAGAGAUAAGUGCUGAAAGCAUCUAAGCACGAAACUUGCCCCGAGAUGAGUUCUCCCUGACCCUUUAAGGGUCCUGAAGGAACGUUGAAGACGACGACGUUGAUAGGCCGGGUGUGUAAGCGCAGCGAUGCGUUGAGCUAACCGGUACUAAUGAACCGUGAGGCUUAACCUU
RNAcentral lists this ribosomal RNA (2903 nucleotides) under Escherichia coli. Its description in RNAcentral is "23S ribosomal RNA". It matches the Rfam family "Bacterial large subunit ribosomal RNA". The record is from RNAcentral. Lineage: Bacteria; Pseudomonadati; Pseudomonadota; Gammaproteobacteria; Enterobacterales; Enterobacteriaceae.